GACUAACGCUGGCGGCGCGCCUAACACAUGCAAGUCGCACGAGAAACUCCGUAGCAAUACGGGGCGGUAAAGUGGCGAACGGGUGAGUAAUGCAUGGGUGACCUGUCCUCAAGAUGGGAAUAACCUCGCGAAAGCGGGGCUAAUACCCAAUGCCAUCUCGGUCCUACGGGAUCGGGAUGAAAGAUAGCUGUCACAGGCUGUCACUUGAGGAGGGGCUCAUGCCCAUCAGCUAGUUGGUAGGGUAACGGCCUACCAAGGCUAUGACGGGUAGCUGGUCUGAGAGGACGACCAGCCACACUGGCACUGAGACACGGGCCAGACUCCUACGGGAGCAGCAGUGAGGAAUCUUGCGCAAUGGACGAAAGUCUGACGCAGCGACGCCGCGUGGGGGAUGAAGGCCUUCGGGUCGU
This 410-nucleotide ribosomal RNA is filed under the name uncultured bacterium. RNAcentral describes it as "bacterial SSU rRNA". It matches the Rfam family "Bacterial small subunit ribosomal RNA", at positions 28 to 426 of the family's 1533-position model. The record is from RNAcentral.